RNAcentral lists this long non-coding RNA (495 nucleotides) under Monodelphis domestica (gray short-tailed opossum). RNAcentral's name for it is "lncRNA (ENSMODG00000035874.2)". The record is from RNAcentral. Lineage: Eukaryota; Metazoa; Chordata; Mammalia; Didelphimorphia; Didelphidae.
AGUUCUAGAUGACAACAUUUAGAUCUAGAGUAACUCUCUGCUCCACCUUUGAAUUUUUCAGAUGAAGAAACUGAGGGCCAAUAUGAUGAUGUGACUUGCCCCUAAAUCACUCAAGUAGUAAUUUCUUAAGGAGGUGGAGUCAAGAUGGCCACAUAAAAGGAGUAGAAGUUAAGACCUCUGAAUACUCUUCCUUACCAAUCACAAAUUGAAUGCUCCUAGGGGACUGAAAAUCAAGCCUAACAACAAGACAGAGCCAAGGAACCCUCCUGCUGGACUCAACUCAAAAGGGAAGGGAGUGGUAAAGGAGCUCUAGACAUUUUAUUUUUGGGAGUUACAAGUGAAUAAUUCCUUCUAUUAAUGUAAAUCAGCAUUUGGAAAUAUGGAUUCUGAGAGUUUCCUGAGGCAUGGAGAGAGGUUCAGCAACUUACCCAGGAGUCAUCAAAAUGAAGUGUUAAUACAAAAGUCAAGAUGACUUUCAAUGGCUCAGGAUGUAGU